This 425-nucleotide long non-coding RNA is filed under the name Panax ginseng (ginseng). RNAcentral's name for it is "long non-coding RNA (PGIN_LNC013344)". Lineage: Eukaryota; Viridiplantae; Streptophyta; Magnoliopsida; Apiales; Araliaceae. The record is from RNAcentral.
AAGAUUCAUCCAAAUAAAUGAAGCAGAAUCCCGUCAAAAACUGACGUCUUUCACCCAUGCUUUCAGAAAACGUGGCACGCCGUUGGUGCUGCCACCUCUACACCUAAAUUUACGUGUCCAAACACCCCCAUCUUCCUUUAUCUCAGUCGUUUCGUCUAUAUAUAAAUUAUAAAAUUAAGUUGUUAGUUUCUCACUAACCAAAAUUACAGCUAUAAUCAUGGCGAAAACUUCAUUACCAGUAUUUCUGACACUCACCCUUGUUUCUGCCCCAGAGGUGUGCUGGUUCGAAUCCAGCUCGUGACAAGACCUUUUUGGCCGCUCCUGUUAAGGGUUUUGGAGGUGGUUCAUUGGGAGGAAGAACGAAGGUCGAAGAUGUGGAAAGGGACAAAGAGGUUCAAGAAAUGGGGGAAUACGCGGUGGAUGAG